RNAcentral lists this ribosomal RNA (397 nucleotides) under uncultured bacterium. Its description in RNAcentral is "partial 16S ribosomal RNA". It matches the Rfam family "Bacterial small subunit ribosomal RNA", at positions 523 to 918 of the family's 1533-position model. The record is from RNAcentral.
AUACGUAGGUGACAAGCGUUAUCCGGAUUUACUGGGCGUAAAGGGCGUGUAGGCGGUCUUGCAAGUCAGAAGUGAAAUUCCUGAGCUCAACUCGGGCGCUGCUUCUGAAACUGCAGGACUUGAGUGCUGGAGGGGAUAGCGGAAUUCCUAGUGGAGCGGUAAAAUGCGCAGAUAUUAGGAGGAACACCGGUGGCGAAGGCGGCUAGCUGGAAUGAAUCGGACGCUGAGGCGCGAAAGCGUGGGGAGCAAACAGGAUUAUAUCCCCUGGUAUUCCACGCCGUAAACGAUGAAUACUAGGUGUCGGGUUUCUAUAGAGAUUCGGUGCCGCAGCAAACGCAAUACGGAUUCCACCUGGGGAGUACGUUAGUAAGACUGAAACUCAAACGAAUUGACGGGG